Molecule: non-coding RNA, 21 nt
Organism: Caenorhabditis elegans
Lineage: Eukaryota; Metazoa; Nematoda; Chromadorea; Rhabditida; Rhabditidae
Source: Ensembl
UUGGUUUGGUGUGAUUGAUUU